AUUGAACGCUGGCGGCAGGCCUAACACAUGCAAGACGAGCGGUAGAGAGAAGCUUGCUUCUCUUGAGAGCGGCGGACGGGUGAGUAAUGCCUAGGAAUCUGCCUGGUAGUGGGGGAUAACGUUCGGAAACGGACGCUAAUACCGCAUACGUCCUACGGGAGAAAGCCGGGGACCUUCGGGCCUUGCGCUAUCAGAUGAGCCUAGGUCGGAUUAGCUAGUUGGUGGGGUAAUGGCUCACCAAGGCGACGAUCCGUAACUGGUCUGAGAGGAUGAUCAGUCACACUGGAACUGAGACACGGUCCAGACUCCUACGGGAGGCAGCAGUGGGGAAUAUUGGACAAUGGGCGAAAGCCUGAUCCAGCCAUGCCGCGUGUGUGAAGAAGGUCUUCGGAUUGUAAAGCACUUUAAGUUGGGAGGAAGGGCAGUAAAUUAAUACUUUGCUGUUUUGACGUUACCGACAGAAUAAGCACCGGCUAACUCUGUG
This 484-nucleotide ribosomal RNA is filed under the name uncultured bacterium. RNAcentral describes it as "partial 16S ribosomal RNA". It matches the Rfam family "Bacterial small subunit ribosomal RNA", at positions 30 to 507 of the family's 1533-position model. The record is from RNAcentral.